RNAcentral lists this ribosomal RNA (465 nucleotides) under Vreelandella stevensii. RNAcentral describes it as "partial 16S ribosomal RNA". It matches the Rfam family "Bacterial small subunit ribosomal RNA", at positions 338 to 795 of the family's 1533-position model. Lineage: Bacteria; Pseudomonadati; Pseudomonadota; Gammaproteobacteria; Oceanospirillales; Halomonadaceae. The record is from RNAcentral.
CCUACGGGGGGCAGCAGUGGGGAAUAUUGGACAAUGGGGGCAACCCUGAUCCAGCCAUGCCGCGUGUGUGAAGAAGGCCCUCGGGUUGUAAAGCACUUUCAGUGAGGAAGAACGCCUGGUGGUUAAUACCCAUCAGGAAAGACAUCACUCACAGAAGAAGCAGCGGCUAACUCCGUGCCAGCAGCCGCGGUAAUACGGAGGGUGCGAGCGUUAAUCGGAAUUACUGGGCGUAAAGCGCGCGUAGGUGGCUUGAUAAGCCUGGUGUGAAAGCCCCGGGCUCAACCUGGGAACGGCAUCCGGAACUGUCAAGCUAGAGUGCAGGAGAGGAAGGUAGAAUUCCCGGUGUAGCGGUGAAAUGCGUAGAGAUCGGGAGGAAUACCAGUGGCGAAGGCGGCCUUCUGGACUGACACUGACACUGAGGUGCGAAAGCGUGGGUAGCAAACAGGAUUAGAUACCCUAGUAGUC